GUACUUCUCAGAAGUGCAUAUUCUAAAAUUGGAACGAUACAGAGAGGAUCAGCAUGGCCCCUGCGCAAGGAUGACACGCAAAUCGUAAAGCGUUCCAAAUUAAA
RNAcentral lists this small nuclear RNA (104 nucleotides) under Stegodyphus dumicola. Lineage: Eukaryota; Metazoa; Arthropoda; Arachnida; Araneae; Eresidae. The record is from RNAcentral.